Molecule: ribosomal RNA, 727 nt
Filed under: uncultured bacterium
Lineage: Bacteria
Description: bacterial SSU rRNA
Rfam family: Bacterial small subunit ribosomal RNA
Source: RNAcentral
ACGGAACUUCUUUAAAGGAUUUCUUCGGAAUGAAUUUGAUUAAGUUUAGUGGCGGACGGGUGAGUAACGCGUGAGUAACCUGCCUCUAAGAGGGGAAUAACAUUCUGAAAAGAAUGCUAAUACCGCAUAACAUAUAUUUAUCGCAUGGUAGAUAUAUCAAAGAUUUAUCGCUUAGAGAUGGACUCGCGUCCGAUUAGUUAGUUGGUGAGGUAACGGCUCACCAAGACCGCGAUCGGUAGCCGGACUGAGAGGUUGAACGGCCACAUUGGGACUGAGACACGGCCCAGACUCCUACGGGAGGCAGCAGUGGGGGAUAUUGCGCAAUGGGGGAAACCCUGACGCAGCAACGCCGCGUGAAGGAUGAAGGUUUUCGGAUUGUAAACUUCUUUUAUUAAGGACGAAGAAAGUGACGGUACUUAAUGAAUAAGCUCCGGCUAACUACGUGCCAGCAGCCGCGGUAAUACGUAGGGAGCAAGCGUUGUCCGGAUUUACUGGGUGUAAAGGGUGCGUAGGCGGCUUUGCAAGUCAGAUGUGAAAUCUAUGGGCUCAACCCAUAGCCUGCAUUUGAAACUGCAGAGCUUGAGUGAAGUAGAGGCAGGCGGAAUUCCCCGUGUAGCGGUGAAAUGCGUAGAGAUGGGGAGGAACACCAGUGGCGAACGCGGCCUGCUGGGCUUUAACUGACGCUGAGGCACGAAAGCGUGGGUAGCAAACAGGAUUAGAUACCCUG